GCUGUCUCUCAUAUAGGAAUUAUAUAUUCUA
RNAcentral lists this non-coding RNA (31 nucleotides) under Rattus norvegicus (Norway rat). Lineage: Eukaryota; Metazoa; Chordata; Mammalia; Rodentia; Muridae. The record is from RNAcentral.